GUCGUAACAAGGUUUCCGUAGGUGAACCUGCGGAAGGAUCAUUACACGUUCCGUCUGUAUGCGAGGUAGUAUACUAUCUCGUAUUCUUACUGCUGCUGCCAUACUGCGUCUUGUACAUGGUGUGGUGGUAUGCAUGGGAUCUGCCGGUCAUGGUAGUCCAACAUUAUUGCGGUGGGGUGUCUGUCCUGUCGGCUGCCCGCCAGGUGUGCUCGCUUUCCUCCUCCUCCUGCUCUUGCGAAGGGGAGAUCGCCAGUGAACACCGGGGUGACAGGGUAGUGCACGUAUGAGGUUGGACUGUUUGCCUGUGCGCAGUUGCUCCUUGUACGAGUGCGAGGCGUAAGACUCGGGGUCGCUGGUCAAGCGGUCUCGGCGCCCCACCAUGUGUCAGUUGUUUUGUACUGUUGCUGUGUUUUACACCCUGUGGGCGUGGUUCUUCCAUGCUCUCCUUUACCAUGCUCUGCUACAUAGUUGAGCACGGUGGUGCACUCCUUGUUGGUUGGUAGGUCGCUGACCGGCCGGCCCAAGUUCUAGUGUGCCUAACAAGAUCGGCGGUCUUAUGACAUUGUCGGUCGAAGUACAACUCUAUGCGGUGGAUCACUCGGCUCGUGUGUCGAUGAAGAGCGCAGCCAACUGUGUGAAUUAAUGUGAAUCGCAGACUGCUUUGAACAUCGAC
This 673-nucleotide unclassified non-coding RNA is filed under the name Adenocephalus pacificus. RNAcentral describes it as "sequence contains ITS1 and 5.8S rRNA gene". The stretch from base 579 to 673 matches the Rfam family "5.8S ribosomal RNA", at positions 1 to 96 of the family's 154-position model. The record is from RNAcentral. Lineage: Eukaryota; Metazoa; Platyhelminthes; Cestoda; Diphyllobothriidea; Diphyllobothriidae.